RNAcentral lists this ribosomal RNA (911 nucleotides) under uncultured bacterium. Its description in RNAcentral is "bacterial SSU rRNA". It matches the Rfam family "Bacterial small subunit ribosomal RNA", at positions 8 to 916 of the family's 1533-position model. The record is from RNAcentral.
AGAGUUUGAUCCUGGCUCAGAACGAACGCUGGCGGCGCGCCUAAUACAUGCAAGUCGAGCGAGAAGGUGUAGCAAUACACUUGUAAAGCGGCGAACGGGUGAGGAAUACAUGGGUAAUCUACCAUCGAGUGGGGAAUAACCAACCGAAAGGUUGGCUAAUACCGCGUACGCUUCUGAGCCUUCGGGUUCGGAAGGAAAGCCGUACUGUGAGUGCGGCGCUCUUUGAUGAGCUCAUGUCCUAUCAGCUUGUUGGUAGGGUAACGGCCUACCAAGGCUUUGACGGGUAGCUGGUCUGAGAGGACGAUCAGCCACACUGGCACUGCGACACGGGCCAGACUCCUACGGGAGGCAGCAGUAAGGAAUAUUGCGCAAUGGGCGAAAGCCUGACGCAGCGACGCCGCGUGGGGGAUGAAGGUCUUCGGAUUGUAAACCCCUUUCGGGAGGGAAGAUGGAGCGAGCAAUCGUUCGGACGGUACCUCCAGAAGCAGCCACGGCCAACUUCGUGCCAGCAGCCGCGGUAAUACGAAGGUGGCAAGCGUUGUUCGGAUUCACUGGGCGUACAGGGUGUGUAGGCGGUUUGGUAAGCCUUCUGUUAAAGCUUCGGGCCCAACCCGGAAAGCGCAGAGGGUACUGCCAGGCUAGAGGGUGGGAGAGGAGCGCGGAAUUCCCGGUGUAGCGGUGAAAUGCGUAGAGAUCGGGAGGAAGGCCGGUGGCGAAGGCGGCGCUCUGGAACAUACCUGACGCUGAGACACGAAAGCGUGGGGAGCAAACAGGAUUAGAUACCCUGGUAGUCCACGCCCUAAACUAUGGAUACUAAGUGUCGGCGGGUUACCGCCGGUGCCGCAGCUAACGCAUUAAGUAUCCCGCCUGGGAAGUACGGCCGCAAGGUUGAAACUCAAAUGAAUUGACGG